Molecule: long non-coding RNA, 1368 nt
Filed under: Dasypus novemcinctus (nine-banded armadillo)
Lineage: Eukaryota; Metazoa; Chordata; Mammalia; Cingulata; Dasypodidae
Description: lncRNA (ENSDNOG00000052451.1)
Source: RNAcentral
GCUCGUUGUCUGCUCAUUGUCUGUUUGUUUCUUCUUAGGAGGCAUCGGGAAACAAACCUGGGACCUCCUGUGUGGGAGGAAGGUGCCCAUCUGCCGGAGCCACGUCCACUCUGACCAAACUGCCUGCAGUCCAGGAGCUGGGGCUGCAGGUCCAAAGGGCACAGCCCUUGCCAUCCAGGAAUGGCAGGGAGACCCACAUGGAAACAGACGUUGCCACGCCGUGUGAAGAAGCUGACAGUGGACCUGUGACAGCAUGGCAUGCAGGGGAGGCAGUCGCUACAGUUCCGAAUUAAAGGCGACAACAACCCACAAAGAGCCGUCCUGGGGAACGGUCGGAGACCUCAGGCUGGUCACGGCCUUGCUGCUGGCGGGAAGUCCUGCUGACUCUGGAUGCCGGAGGAUUUAAAACGAAGUAUCGGGGAUGUGGAUGUUUUCUUCUGGGAAGACUCCCCUACCCGGAGGCAGGCACAGUCCAGAGGCCACGCUGAAGGCCGAGUGGAGCCGUCACUGGCAACCUCUGGUUGUGCUUGCGAAUCAGCGAUUCAGCCAAAGAGGGCCAUUACCAGGUUCCCAGGGAGCCCUGCCUGUCCAGCCCGUGGUGACCCCAGCUCUGUCCACGGUCGCUGCUGCGUCUCCCAAGGGCUGCUGGGGUCUAGGGAGCCUCAGGGCUGGGGCCUGCCGAAAGGGCCGAGUGGAGCCCCUGGAUUUCAACCCGCCCCAUUUACCUGGAACCCGAGGGUCCCCGGGGGCUUUUGCAGCGCUGAAAGCAGGGGCGUCCUGGACAAACCAGGGCAGACGCUCACCCAGCUCAGGGGUCCACAGGUGGAGUCGCGCCGGCAGCUGCCGCAUCAGCCUUGGUUUUUCAUCCUUCACUACGUGACGCUGACCGCGCUCCCUGCUCGGAUUCUCCGCUCCAGCAGGACGUGUUUUCCGUCUGGAAGCCGCUCUUAUCUUCCAAGUCAAGUUCUGUUAAGGGGAUUUUCCCAAAAGGGAAAUCUCUGCGAGCUCUUAUCCCUCACCUUCCCGAAUGCACCCCAGGAAGCGGCCCAAGAGGGACUGUCUCUCCCCAUUUCCUCCACCCGGCACAGACGCGUUCGCAGGCUGAGUGGCCGAGGUGGCCCCGGGCUCCAGCCGGGCAGUGCUCUCCGCCCGUGCUUUCUCCCACGGGACCUCAGGGCUCUCUCUGAGAGCGUGUGACCACCAAGGAGUGAGCGGGAGACGCUGGGCUCGGACCAGCCCUCACGCCAACACACACUCACACACACAAACACACCACACGCACUCAGGCACACACUACACACAGCGCGCACACACGCUCUCACGCAUGCCACACUCAACAGGCAUGCACACACGUACAUACACACACCC